This 107-nucleotide ribosomal RNA is filed under the name Mastotermes darwiniensis (giant northern termite). RNAcentral's name for it is "partial 28S ribosomal RNA". The record is from RNAcentral. Lineage: Eukaryota; Metazoa; Arthropoda; Insecta; Blattodea; Mastotermitidae.
ACAGCCGUUGCACACGAGUCAGUCGAUCCUAAGCCCUAGGAGAGAUCCGAUGUCGAUGCGGCGGGGUGGCGACUCCCCGCCCGAGCAGGGCGAAAGGGAAUCCGGUU